UUAAGAUUUAAAUAAAUUAUAGAAGAUUAAUAGUUAUGUUCUUUAAAUUUAAAAAAAUUGGCGGUAUUUAAAUCUAAUCAGGGGAACUUGUUUUUUAAUUGAUAAUCCUCAAAGUACCUUACUUUAAUUUAAAAUUUAUUUAUUGCCGUUAUCAGAUUAUUUUUUAAAAAAAGAAAUUUUCUUAAAUAUUUAAAUAUAUUUAUUUCAGGUCAUUAUGUAGUUUAUAUUAAAGUUAAAAUGAGUUACAGUAAUUUUUUAUUAUAUUGGAUAUUAUAUUGAAAUAUAUAAUUAAAAUUGGACUUGAUAGUAAAUAAAAAUUAUUAAGUUUUAUUGAAUUAAGAAUUAAAUAUGU
Molecule: ribosomal RNA, 352 nt
Filed under: Metallus rohweri
Lineage: Eukaryota; Metazoa; Arthropoda; Insecta; Hymenoptera; Tenthredinidae
Description: partial 12S ribosomal RNA
Source: RNAcentral